GGCAAUCGGCCAACUUCACAGAGUUAGUUCACAAUGUGUCAUUUUAAAGCUCAUUACUUUUCUCUGUAUUAAUCUUUUAUUGCUGAGUCUCUCCUUCUUUUCAUCACAUGCCUUCGUGCUAUUCUGGCAAGUGAAAAUCGUUUUAUUUGACACUUUUCACAUAUUGAUUUGGAUAAAGUAGUCGUCACAAGGAUUGAAAAUUGGCUUGAGGGUGAAGGACUGGAUCCAGUCUGAGAAUUGGAUGGUAAGCGUUAGAUUGCAUAAGAAACCAACUAGUGGAGCAAGUCUGCCUUGCAGGCAGCAUGCAGCCAGGCCGGAGAAUUGAGAGGGACAGUUUAGCAAUUUUUUCUCAAUUCAUUCAGCCUUCCACUAGAAUACAGGCAAUGGGAAAUUGGGCCGAGGAUGAAACUCCAAAGUUAAGGCCCCAUUUGUUCAUGUGUACCUGAAUCAUAGUUAGUUUACGUGCAGAGAGGUAGCUGAUAAAAUAUGAAUCUGGUCCCCAAAAAGGAAGACAUGGCGAAAGGAAUGCUGGGUACAAAGGUUCUGAACUUCACGUGGACAAGGUUGCAUCUUACUCAUAUCUCUGUCACCUGAAACACUUGGCACAGCAUGUGGACCACAGUGGCUCCUUGGAAUAACUCAACUGGUCAACUGGUCUUGACCUGAAGGAUUUUUACGCCAAACAUUACAGCAUUUUCUGAAUUUGGAAGAAGUGAAAUUCCUACCAGCUUUCUUUAUAUACAAGGUCUGGUUGGUCAAGAUUCUGUAAAACUUUU
Molecule: long non-coding RNA, 776 nt
Organism: Monodelphis domestica (gray short-tailed opossum)
Lineage: Eukaryota; Metazoa; Chordata; Mammalia; Didelphimorphia; Didelphidae
Source: RefSeq, a predicted model, not a curated record